RNAcentral lists this small RNA (475 nucleotides) under Pan troglodytes (chimpanzee). Its description in RNAcentral is "retained intron". The record is from RNAcentral. Lineage: Eukaryota; Metazoa; Chordata; Mammalia; Primates; Hominidae.
GUGAAUGCUCAGGAAUAUACUGCAGCUCCCUUCUUUCUUCCAUAGCUGCUAAAGGCCUGGAGCCCUGUUUUUAGGAACUACAUAAAGCGCGCAGCCGACCAUUUGGAAGCGUUAGCAGCCAUUGAGGACUUCUUCUUAGAGCAUGAAGCUCUUGGUAUUUCCAUGGCCAAGGUACUGAUGGCUUUCUACCAGCUGGAGAUCCUGGCUGAGGAAACAAUUCUGAGCUGGUUCAGCCAAAGAGAUACAACUGACAAGGGCCGGCAGUUGCGCAAGAAUCAACAGGUGCGUCAGGCUGUCCUCCUCUUGCCAAGACGGUUAUCUCAUUCCCAGGUCCUGGCCCCUAGACUCUAGGGUGGUUGGUUUCUGGGGCUCUGGUUGUUAGAGCUGUUUAUCUGCCGAGGGGAGCAGGAGAGUUAUGUGCACCUCCCCCAGCCGAUCUCUCCUCUGCUUCUUUACAGCUGCAGAGGUUCAUCCA